GGAUGCGAUCAUACCAGCACUAAAGCACCGGAUCCCAUCAGAACUCCGAAGUUAAGCGUGCUUGGGCGAGAGUAUUACUAGGAUGGGUGACCUCCUCGGAAGUCCUCGUGUUGCAUUCC
Molecule: ribosomal RNA, 119 nt
Filed under: Triticum aestivum (bread wheat)
Lineage: Eukaryota; Viridiplantae; Streptophyta; Magnoliopsida; Poales; Poaceae
Also listed under: 1 other name
Source: RNAcentral